GUCUUCUUAGUGCCUUUUCAGCCACAUAAAAUCAUAGGGAAUUUAUCUUCAUGGUUACAGGAAUUGGGAGGUUUUUAAAUGCCUGUGCACGAGCAUAAGUGUGUGUGUGUGUGUGUGUGUGUGUGAGACACAGAGGGAGGGAGGGACAGUGUUGUUUCCCGGAGGGUUACAGACCCCUUGACACUUUUCUGGAACAGCAUUAACUUGCCUUGAGCAUCUUCCUGGAUCUUACUGGUGCUGAGAAGACAGACCCAUACAUGGAAUAGCCCAGAAGCUUCAAGGAUUCAGUUUCAAACUGCCCCCAUGGUCAGUGUGAAAAUAGUAUCUUCUGUGGUCCUGGGUUAUCUGAUAGGCAGUUUACAAAGGAAAACUGUCUCCGGCAGAGGGUAGAUGUUACACUGUGCAGAAUAUACCGUCCACAAUGUGUAGUGAUGGCAGUGAUGGCAAAAGCAGCAUGACUGCACCCUGAGAAAACUCAGAGGCCUUUAUGCCAACUUGUGACUCAAGAAAUGGACCAUUUGGCUCAGCGACAGAAGAGCAAUUUGGGAAAUCAUUUGAUUUGCCUAUCACAGUCCAAAUACACUCCGGGUUCUUCAGCCGAACUUACAAAACGCUCCCUGACCUCCCCUCUCUCUGCCUCCUCUUCCUCGUCUCUUUCCACAGCUCCACGUUGCUCCCUGGACUUUGGGUUUCCUUGCGACUGGCUCUCGCCCUCCUCCGUUAAUAGAGCGUUGCAUUUUGCUAGACCAGGCUUUCUUUAUUUCUGGGAUGAUUCUUCCUCAGCCUUAAGGAAUUACCUCUUCCAGGAAGCCUUUUCUAAGUAUAGCAGGUGCCUUUGCUUCCGCGUCAUAGUUCUUAUCACACUCCGCUCUCUGCCACCGUCAAUUCUACUUCAGGAAGGAAAGCGGAGUGUGGGCAAAUCAGCUCCAGACAUCCUAGGCCUUCUGAUAAACAAAUAUCAGCAUUUUUGA
This 971-nucleotide long non-coding RNA is filed under the name Sus scrofa (pig). Its description in RNAcentral is "lncRNA (ENSSSCG00065009903.1)". The record is from RNAcentral. Lineage: Eukaryota; Metazoa; Chordata; Mammalia; Artiodactyla; Suidae.